UACGUAGGUGGCAAGCGUUGUCCGGAUUUAUUGGGCGUAAAGGGAGCGCAGGCGGUGACUUAAGUCUGAUGUGAAAGCCCACGGCUCAACCGUGGAAGGUCAUUGGAAACUGGGUCACUUGAAUGGAGCAGAGGAGAACGGAAUUCCAUGUGUAGCAGUGAAAUGCGUAGAUAUAUGGAGGAACACCAGUGGCGAAGGCGGCUUCCUGGUCUGUAACUGACACUGAGGCGCGAAAGCGUGGGGAGCAAACAGGAUUAGA
RNAcentral lists this ribosomal RNA (259 nucleotides) under uncultured prokaryote. RNAcentral describes it as "partial 16S ribosomal RNA". It matches the Rfam family "Bacterial small subunit ribosomal RNA", at positions 524 to 782 of the family's 1533-position model. The record is from RNAcentral.